GUAACCCCUUAAAUGUGUCUGAUCGUGGAAGCUAAGCAGUGUCCAGCCUAGUUGGUACUUGGAAGAAAGACCAAAGAACAAAUUGGCAGGAGGUUACU
This 98-nucleotide ribosomal RNA is filed under the name Microtus ochrogaster (prairie vole). The record is from RNAcentral. Lineage: Eukaryota; Metazoa; Chordata; Mammalia; Rodentia; Cricetidae.